GAUGAACGCUGGCGGCGUGCCUAAUACAUGCAAGUCGAGCGAACGGACGAGAAGUUUGCGUCUCUGAUGUUAGCGGCGGACGGGUGAUUAACACGUGGAUAACCUACCUAUAAGACUGGGAUGAUUUCGGGAAACCGUAUCUAAUACCGGAUAAUAUUUUGAACCUCAUUGUUCAAAAGUUAAAUACGGUCUUUCUGUCACUUAUAGAUUGACCCGCGCUGCAUUAGCUAGUUGGUAAGGUAACGGCUUACCAAGGCAGCGAUGGAUAGCCGACCUGAGAGGGUGGUCGGCUACACGGGAACUGAGACACGGCCCAGACACCUACGCGAGGACACAGUAGAGAAUCCUACGCAAGGGGGGAGAGCGUGAUGGAGCAAAGCGGCGUGAGUGAUGAACGACUUCGGAUCGUAGAACUAUGUUAUUAGGGAGGAAGAAAUGUGUAAGUAACUGUGAAGAUAUUGACGGUACCUAAUCAAAAAGCCACGGCUAACUACGUG
Molecule: ribosomal RNA, 497 nt
Filed under: uncultured bacterium
Lineage: Bacteria
Description: partial 16S ribosomal RNA
Rfam family: Bacterial small subunit ribosomal RNA
Source: RNAcentral